Molecule: ribosomal RNA, 421 nt
Filed under: uncultured bacterium
Lineage: Bacteria
Description: bacterial SSU rRNA
Rfam family: Bacterial small subunit ribosomal RNA
Source: RNAcentral
GAUGAACGCUAGCGGCAGGCUUAAUACAUGCAAGUCGAGGGGCAGCAGGUCUGUAGCAAUACAGAUGCUGGCGACCGGCAAACGGGUGCGGAACACGUACAGAACCUUCCUUCGAGCGGGGAAUAGCCCAGAGAAAUUUGGAUUAAUACCCCAUAGUACAUUGAAGAGGCAUCUCUUUAAUAUUAAAGAUUUAUCACUUGAAGAUGGCUGUGCGGCNGAUUAGGUAGUUGGCGGGGUAACGGCCCACCAAGCCUACGAUCAGUAACUGGUGUGAGAGCACGACCAGUCACACGGGCACUGAGACACGGGCCCGACUCCUACGGGAGGCAGCAGUAAGGAAUAUUGGUCAAUGGACGCAAGUCUGAACCAGCCAUGCCGCGUGGAGGAUGAAGGUCCUCUGGAUUGUAAACUUCUUUUAUAU